AGGCUGUGGUGAGGGCAUUCUAGGAGUAGAUCCUUGAAUCUCUCCAUAAAUUUGGAGAACGACUCACUAGGUUUCUGCCUGAAUUGAAGACUGUCACUCUUAAGUUU
Small nucleolar RNA from Macadamia integrifolia, 107 nucleotides. Lineage: Eukaryota; Viridiplantae; Streptophyta; Magnoliopsida; Proteales; Proteaceae. The record is from RefSeq and is a predicted model, not a curated record.